CCAGGUCACUACUCCGAGCUCCCACGACAAUCAAUCUUCGAUCGAGCUUCUACAAUAAGCGGCCUCCUUUCAGCCUUUUACAAGAAUCAAACUCCAUCCGAACUUCCAUAGCGGAUGGAUAUCGGACGAGCUUCUACAACAGACGGGCUCCAGCAGCUGGAUUUCUACAACGACCGAUCACCUCCGGUGUCUGCCGAAUCUCCCCAGCCAUCAGCCUUCAAUAGCAUCAGUCGGACUUCCACAAUGCCAUC
RNAcentral lists this long non-coding RNA (251 nucleotides) under Elaeis guineensis (African oil palm). RNAcentral's name for it is "long non-coding RNA (EGUI_LNC075770)". The record is from RNAcentral. Lineage: Eukaryota; Viridiplantae; Streptophyta; Magnoliopsida; Arecales; Arecaceae.